AAGUCGUAACAAGGUUUCCGUAGGUGAACCUGCGGAAGGAUCAUUAACAAAUCACACUCAUCCUGUAUGGGAUGAGAUGUAAGCUCUCCACUGUGGUGGAUUGCACAUAACAGCAUAUUGUAUAUUGUCCAUGUAUUAUGUAAUCAUCUAACACUUUUAACAAUGGAUCUCUUGGCUCUU
This 180-nucleotide unclassified non-coding RNA is filed under the name fungal sp. RNAcentral's name for it is "partial internal transcribed spacer region". The stretch from base 1 to 46 matches the Rfam family "Eukaryotic small subunit ribosomal RNA", at positions 1786 to 1831 of the family's 1831-position model. Lineage: Eukaryota; Fungi. The record is from RNAcentral.